CAUGUCUUUUUGUUAAUGAUUUAAAGUCUGGCCUGCUCGAUGAAUUUUAAAUUGCCGCAGUAUUUUGACUGUGCAAAGGUAGCAUAAUAAUUAGUUUCUUAAUUAGGAGCUUGAAUGAAUGGUUUAACAAGAAAAUUUCUGUCUCUAUUUUAUUUUUUAUUGAAUUUUAUUUUUAAGUUAAAAAGCUUAAAUUUUUUUAAAAGACGAGAAGACCCUAUAGAGUUUUAUUUUUUGAUUUAUUUAUAAUUUAGGAAUUUAAUUAGAUUAAAUUAUUUAGUUGGGGUGACUCAUGGAUUUAUAAAAUUCUUUGAUUAUAAUAUUGUUGAUUUUUAAAUUUAUUUUCUGUAUUUUCAAGUUUAAAUUAAAUUACCUUAGGGAUAACAGCGUAAUUUUCCUUUAAAGUUCUCAUUAAAAGGAGAGUUUGCGACCUCGAUGUUGGAUUAAAAUAAAUUUUUGGUGCAGUAACUUAGGGAUUAGGUCUGUUCGACCUUUAAAAUUUUACAUGAUCUGAGUUUAGACCGGCGUGAGCCAGGUUAGAUUCUAUCUUUAGAAUUUUUUAAUAUUUUAGUACGAAAGGACCAAGUAUAGAUUAUAAUAAUUG
This 601-nucleotide ribosomal RNA is filed under the name Dilophotes sp. AD LB-2014. RNAcentral describes it as "partial 16S ribosomal RNA". The stretch from base 377 to 535 matches the Rfam family "Bacterial large subunit ribosomal RNA", at positions 2473 to 2632 of the family's 2925-position model. The record is from RNAcentral. Lineage: Eukaryota; Metazoa; Arthropoda; Insecta; Coleoptera; Lycidae.